AGCAGCAGUAGGGAAUCUUCCGCAAUGGGCGCAAGCCUGACGGAGCAACGCCGUGUGAGUGAAGACGGUCUUCGGAUUGUAAAGCUCUGUCAUUCGGGGCGAGCGGCCAGGAGAGGGAAUGCUCUUGGCGAGACGGUACCGAAGGAGGAAGCCCCGGCUAACUACGUGCCAGCAGCCGCGGUAAUACGUAGGGGGCAAGCGUUGUCCGGAAUGACUGGGCGUAAAGCGCGCGCAGGCGGUUUUUCACGUCUGGGGUGAAAGCCCGGGGCUCAACCCUGGGAUGGCCUUGGAAACGGGGGAACUUGAGGGUCGGAGAGGUCAGGGGAAUUCCACGUGUAGCGGUGAAAUGCGUAGAGAUGUGGAGGAAUACCAGUGGCGAAGGCGCCUGACUGGACGAAACCUGACGCUGAGGCGCGAAGGCGUGGGGAGCAAACAGGAUUAGAUACCCUGGUAGUCCACGCGGUAAACGAUGAGUGCUAGGUGUCGGAGGGUACCACCUCCGGUGCCGAAGGAAACCCAAUAA
This 523-nucleotide ribosomal RNA is filed under the name uncultured bacterium. RNAcentral's name for it is "bacterial SSU rRNA". It matches the Rfam family "Bacterial small subunit ribosomal RNA", at positions 347 to 863 of the family's 1533-position model. The record is from RNAcentral.